This 694-nucleotide ribosomal RNA is filed under the name uncultured Lachnospiraceae bacterium. Its description in RNAcentral is "bacterial SSU rRNA". It matches the Rfam family "Bacterial small subunit ribosomal RNA", at positions 72 to 776 of the family's 1533-position model. The record is from RNAcentral. Lineage: Bacteria; Bacillati; Bacillota; Clostridia; Lachnospirales; Lachnospiraceae.
AGAUUCUUCGGAGGAUUUCCUAUUUGACUGAGCGGCGGACGGGUGAGUAACGCGUGGGUAACCUGCCUCAUACAGGGGGAUAACAGUUAGAAAUGACUGCUAAUACCGCAUAAGACCACAGCACCGCAUGGUGCAGGGGUAAAAACUCCGGUGGUAUGAGAUGGAUCCGCGUCUGAUUAGUUAGUUGGUGGGGUAACGGCCUACCAAGGCGACGAUCAGUAGCCAACCUGAGAGGGUGACCGGCCACAUUGGGACUGAGACACGGCCCAAACUCCUACGGGAGGCAGCAGGGGGGAAUAUUGCACAAUGGGGGAAACCCUGAUGCAGCGACGCCGCGUGAGCGAAGAAGUAUUUCGGUAUGUAAAGCUCUAUCAGCAGGGAAGAAAAUGACGGUACCUGACUAAGAAGCCCCGGCUAACUACGUGCCAGCAGCCGCGGUAAUACGUAGGGGGCAAGCGUUAUCCGGAUUUACUGGGUGUAAAGGGAGCGUAGACGGAGCAGCAAGUCUGAUGUGAAAACCCGGGGCUCAACCCCGGGACUGCAUUGGAAACUGUUGAUCUGGAGUGCCGGAGAGGUAAGCGGAAUUCCUAGUGUAGCGGUGAAAUGCGUAGAUAUUAGGAGGAACACCAGUGGCGAAGGCGGCUUACUGGACGGUAACUGACGUUGAGGCUCGAAAGCGUGGGGAGCAAACAGG